CCCACGGCUGGCGCCGUGGGUUAGGAUCUGACGCCCCUUCGGGGCU
Molecule: non-coding RNA, 46 nt
Organism: Cyanobacteria bacterium 13_1_40CM_2_61_4
Lineage: Bacteria; Bacillati; Cyanobacteriota
Source: Rfam